RNAcentral lists this ribosomal RNA (94 nucleotides) under uncultured bacterium. RNAcentral's name for it is "partial 16S ribosomal RNA". The record is from RNAcentral.
CCGCCCGUCACAUCACGAAAGUGGACUGUACUAGAAGUCGGUGCACUAACCCGCAAGGGAGGCAGCCGCCCAAGGUAUAGCUCAUGAUUGGGGU